This is a long non-coding RNA of Brassica rapa (field mustard), 402 nucleotides long. RefSeq lists it as uncharacterized. Lineage: Eukaryota; Viridiplantae; Streptophyta; Magnoliopsida; Brassicales; Brassicaceae. The record is from RefSeq and is a predicted model, not a curated record.
AAAUUUAAAAACAACACUAAAAGUCGUAGGCUUCAGUAUAUAGAUCAUUUACCGAAAAACUAAAUAUUUUCGUAGGGUUAACCCAUAGAUUUUGAGAAAAAUUCAAAAAAAUGAAAAUUCUAUUUUAAUGCAUAGUUGCAUCCUUCACUAACAUAUGAUGAAGGUCAAAGUGGUUUGGAACCUUUAUUGUCUCUGUUUUCCUAGGGAAUAGCGAUUUUAUAGUGGUUAGUCAACCAAUUUAGGGAGUAUUAUAAGUUUUACUAAUUUAAUUGACAAAAUAUUUAAACGAUGUCCAUGUACCAUUAAAGAGAGUUUAAUAAACAUUAAUAAAAAUGUAGAAUGUGUUUAAAUUUUUUAAAACAACACGAAAAAUCAUAGACUUCAGUAUAUACAGCAUUUACC